ACUUUUCUGGAAGUAUUUCUUUUUGUUGACUGCUAAGAAUUUACACAUUUAAAAUGGAUUAUUAGCAUGAAUUAUGUCAUUGGUUUUCUUACAAAACAUUGACAAUUUUUUUCGCGUUGUUUGCGGAGCUCUCUUAUCUCAAACCUUUUGGUGCUGUCGAUCUCUGUUUCUUCUCACUGUGUUAAUUCAUCAUUGUUACUGUCUGGUUUUAAACUUGUCUGUUUUGCUGCUUUAGUCUGUCUAAAGGCAUAUGAGUGCGCAAUUUGUUGGACUAGAAAAAUUGGAUAGUAUAUUGGAAGCCCGAUGUACGUACAAGUUCAAUACUACUUUCCUUGUGACUUGGGUUGUGACUUGGGGCUGUUGUUACACUUUGGAUAACUUGUCUGUCAGGAACAGUUGCUGAUUAUAUUGCAUUCUUUGUUGUCGUGAUUGUUCAAGUCGUCUCAGAUGAUCAGCUUUUGCUCCUACUCUCUUACUGCAAGUCUUAUUUUUCUUUCUUGGUUGCUCUUCUAGUUCAGUGAUUGUUGUAUCACUUAUUAUAUCUUCUCUCACUCUUUUAGCUGCUUGUAUACUCAUUUAGCUGCUUGUACACUAGCUGUCAUGAUGUUCUUUUUGCUUGUCUUUUUUUGUAGAUCUGGUAGAAGCAAUAAGCCUUCUGUUGACUGGGGAAUUUUCUGCCUCAUUGCCUCAGCAGAUUUGUCACAGCAACCUCGCACAAUUCCCACUAGCCUAGCCUUUCGAACUCCUCGUGUGUAAAACUGAGAACGAAAAAUAUGAUCGUUGCUACCGUCAAACACAACACGGGAGUUUCGUCACUUCUGGAUCACCAACUAAUGAAGAAUUCGGUGAUGCUAACUCUGUUUCUCAUGUCACGGAGUAUGCAGUGAAUUUACAGUCUAGAACAACACACAUGCUGACCACUCUCUGUGUCCAGUGGGAAAAUAACGACUGCUGUUGCACGUACAAGAUGAAGAUCAUCUGUUACAAGUCAGAAAUUCAGACUUGAUUGUAUUGGACUUGCAUUUCAGGUAAUUGUUCAUGAUUAUAUAUAUGGAUAUCAACUCAUAUGGAAUAUUUAAUAAUAGUGAAAAAUAUUUACC
Long non-coding RNA from Corticium candelabrum, 1100 nucleotides. RefSeq lists it as uncharacterized. The record is from RefSeq and is a predicted model, not a curated record. The transcript is spliced from 4 exons. NCBI's taxonomy places the organism in Eukaryota, Metazoa, Porifera, Homoscleromorpha, Homosclerophorida, Plakinidae.